CGAAAGCCUGAUGGAGCAACGCCGCGUGUGUGAUGAAGGUCUUCGGAUCGUAAAGCACUUUCGACCGGGACGAAAAACCUCUGGCUAACAUCCAGGGGCCUGACGGUACCGGGAGAAGAAGCACCGGCUAACUCUGUGCCAGCAGCCGCGGUAAUACAGAGGGUGCAAGCGUUGUUCGGAAUUAUUGGGCGUAAAGCGCGUGUAGGCGGCUUGGCAAGUCAGAUGUGAAAGCCCAUGGCUUAACCAUGGAAGUGCGUCUGAAACUGCUGAGCUUGAGUGCCGGAGAGGAUGGCGGAAUUCCGCAAGUAGAGGUGAAAUUCGUAGAUAUGCGGAGGAACACCGGUGGCGAAGGCGGCCAUCUGGACGGCAACUGACGCUGAGACGCGAAAGCGUGGGGAGCAAACAGGAUUAGAUACCCUGGUAGUCCACGCUGUAAACGAUGAGAACUAGGUGUCGUGGGUGUUGACCCCCGCGGUGCCGUAGCUAACGCAUUAAGUUCUCCGCCUGGG
Molecule: ribosomal RNA, 509 nt
Filed under: uncultured bacterium
Lineage: Bacteria
Description: bacterial SSU rRNA
Rfam family: Bacterial small subunit ribosomal RNA
Source: RNAcentral